Leptinotarsa decemlineata (Colorado potato beetle) is the source of this 392-nucleotide long non-coding RNA. The record is from RefSeq and is a predicted model, not a curated record. Lineage: Eukaryota; Metazoa; Arthropoda; Insecta; Coleoptera; Chrysomelidae.
UCGACUUUCGUCAUCAUCAGUGCUCACCUGAAAGUGGAUGUCUCAAUUAUGGACAUUCGUGUUUUGGUGGGGUUGCCAAAAGGCAUAACGAUCAAAAUGAGUAUUCUGAAGGUGAGAAAUAUUUCCAAAAUGAUGAAAACGUGGAAUCAACUGAUAACCAGAGAUUUCUGUACCAGUCUGAACAACCUCAGAUUUUUUUAGAACCAAGAUAUGCGGAGCAACUGAGAAUAUUCAGACAAUGGUUGCAACAUCAUAGAAUGGCCUUUCCGGCGAAUUAGUUCAAGAAUAAUGAGAUAAGAUGAUCACCCUUGAAGAUCCCUGUAUUUUAGAGUUUGAUGUCAGUCGAUGAUUGCUGCUUCUAUCGAUAAAAAUAAAUGUUUUUUCCAUCUGAA